GACGAACGCUGGCGGCGUGCUUAACACAUGCAAGUCGAACGGUAAGGCCCUUCGGGGUACACGAGUGGCGAACGGGUGAGUAACACGUGGGUGAUCUGCCCUGCACUUCGGGAUAAGACUGGGAAACUGGGUCUAAUACCGGAUAGGACUCCUGGCUCCAUGGUUGGGGGUGGAAAGCUUUUGCGGUGUAGGAUGGGCCCGCGGCCUAUCAGCUUGUUGGUGGGGUGAUGGCCUACCAAGGCGACGACGGGUAGCCGGUCUGAGAGGGUGACCGGCCACACUGGGACUGAGAUACGGCCCAGACUCCUACGGGAGGCAGCAGUGGGGAAUAUUGCACAAUGGGCGCAAGCCUGAUGCAGCGACGCCGCGUGAGGGAUGACGGCCUUCGGGUUGUAAACCUCUUUCAGCACCGACGAAGCGCAAGUGACGGUAGGUGCAGAAGAAGGACCGGCCAACUACGUGCCAGCCGCCGCGGUAA
This 478-nucleotide ribosomal RNA is filed under the name uncultured bacterium. RNAcentral's name for it is "partial 16S ribosomal RNA". It matches the Rfam family "Bacterial small subunit ribosomal RNA", at positions 28 to 523 of the family's 1533-position model. The record is from RNAcentral.